CAAGCUUGUACAUGCCACAGUGAAUAUCUUUUCUGCUUUCCAGUUACAGAAGCUUGCAGUAUAACCUGGACUGAAAAUUUAAAGUAGGAAUGAGUUCCCUAGAAGAAAACAAAGUAACUUCUGGCAUCUCACUGCAUGGUCAACUUAGCAAAAUGGAAUCUAGAAUCUUCCAACUUCAUGAAUUUCUGACGAUUAGGGGUCCAAUGAAGUAUGUAUUAGCUGCAGGAUAUCAAGUUGUCUAAAAAAUAUACUUCUUUGCUGUAAACUAUGCCAACAAGGAGUCAAAAUGACAAAGUAGAAAUAAAUGUAAAUUAGCUGUCUCAACAAAGCUCCCUACAAAAAUAUAAAAAUGUACCACAUCAAAUUCUGAUCAAUAAAUCCAAAAGGAAAAAAGUCA
Antechinus flavipes (yellow-footed antechinus) is the source of this 397-nucleotide long non-coding RNA. RefSeq lists it as uncharacterized. NCBI's taxonomy places the organism in Eukaryota, Metazoa, Chordata, Mammalia, Dasyuromorphia, Dasyuridae. The transcript is spliced from 3 exons. The record is from RefSeq and is a predicted model, not a curated record.